GGGGACCUUCGGGGCCCUUCACCAAACCGAGGCGCCGGCAACGGUGCGCGAAGCAGACGGAAGACAGAAA
RNAcentral lists this non-coding RNA (70 nucleotides) under unclassified sequences. Its description in RNAcentral is "L2-Alphaproteobacteria ribosomal protein leader". It matches the Rfam family "L2-Alphaproteobacteria ribosomal protein leader". The record is from RNAcentral.